ACGCCCUGCUCAAUCCACUCUACACCUGUGCACUUAUUGUGGGUUUCGGGGGGCUUUUUGCCACUCGUACCUAUGUUUAUUUACAAACGCUUCAGUAAAAGAAUGUGUAUUGCGAUAACGCAUCUAUAUACAACUUUCAGCAACGGAUCUCUUGGCUCUCGCAUCGAUGAAGAACGCAGCGAAAUGCGAUAAGUAAUGUGAAUUGCAGAAUUCAGUGAAUCAUCGAAUCUUUGAACGCACCUUGCGCUCCUUGGUAUUCCGAGGAGCACGCCUGUUUGAGUGUCAUGAAAUCAUCAACUUAUAAGCCUUUCAUGGGUCUAUAAGCUUGGACUUGGAGGCCUGUCGGCGGUCAACGUCGGCUCCUCUCAAAUGUAUUAGCUUGGUUCCUUGCGGAUCGGCUCCCGGUGUGAUAAUGUCUACGCUGUGACCGUGAAGCGUUUGGCGAGCUUCUAAUCGUCUCGUGAGAGACAGCUUCAUUGACUCUGACCU
RNAcentral lists this ribosomal RNA (489 nucleotides) under Neofavolus alveolaris. RNAcentral's name for it is "eukaryotic LSU rRNA". The stretch from base 132 to 285 matches the Rfam family "5.8S ribosomal RNA". Lineage: Eukaryota; Fungi; Basidiomycota; Agaricomycetes; Polyporales; Polyporaceae. The record is from RNAcentral.